CGAACAGGAGUGGCGAAGGUGGCAGAGGGAUGGGGCGAGUCGGCGGCGUAGGUAAAUCCGACUCGAUUUUUAGAAACUUUUUGUUGUUACGGUGUAAUGGUGUAAAAAAGAAGCAGGAAGAGGAAGAGGAUGAGAAGAAGAAAUGGUGCAAUUUUGAAUGAAAUAGUGUAAAAUUUGGCGAAAUAAUGUAAUUUUUAUUUUAAAGAGUAUAACAUUCACCUUAAACAGUACAAUUUUUCUAAAAAAAUAGUGCAAUUUAAUUUUAACAGUGCAACCUUCAUCUUCUUUUUCCUUUUUCGCUGAUUUUUUGCUUCUUU
RNAcentral lists this long non-coding RNA (317 nucleotides) under Ananas comosus (pineapple). RNAcentral's name for it is "long non-coding RNA (ACOM_LNC024715)". Lineage: Eukaryota; Viridiplantae; Streptophyta; Magnoliopsida; Poales; Bromeliaceae. The record is from RNAcentral.